ACACAUACAUGCGUAUGUAUAUGUGUAUACAUGUGUAUUUAUAUGUAUAUGUGUAUGUAUAUGUAUAUGUGUAUGUAUAUAU
Non-coding RNA from Podarcis lilfordi (Lilford's wall lizard), 82 nucleotides. NCBI's taxonomy places the organism in Eukaryota, Metazoa, Chordata, Lepidosauria, Squamata, Lacertidae. The record is from the annotation of a GenBank genome assembly.